GUUUGCUGGAGUCAAAUUGUCCAUGUUAAGAUGCUUCAGCAGGGUGCCAACUCGGAUGUCCUGCGACAUUCGUUGUACAGUCCCUCUGCUCCAAUGCUGGAAGCAAGAUGGCCGUUGUAGUGUCCAUUUUGACUGCCACAGAUGGGCGCUGGAGGACUCUCCGCUGCCUUUCCUGGGGUGUCCAUCUGCUGUUUGAAGUCUGACAGGAGUCCUGGGAAAGAAAGACGUUGGGGUUAUUUUAAUCGUAUGGAGGAGAGUUUGACUGUGAAACUGCACAAAAGACAACAAGACAGCUGAGUUUAUCCCCAUGGGAAAUUAAGAAUCCAACAUAUAUACAGUAUAUUCAACAUUUGAAAAUAGCAAUAAGAAUUGAAUUCUCUGGCGGUCAUCAAGCAGCGCUGAUAUGUAUUGUAUAUAUUUUUUGCUGCUGUUGUACAUUGCCUUUUCUGUAAUACGAAACAUUUUGACUCCCACAAACUCCUUUACUUUAUUGGCGGAGGCAGACAGGAACAAAACCAAGUGUGGGUUGAAGAAAAAUCAUGAUUCUAGGAAAGAAGAUAGUUUUAGAACAGGAAGUCUUCAUCAGUUAAGAAGAUGACUUCCUGUUGGCUGUCUGAAACGACAAAGGCAGGAAACAUGAGUUUUGCGAUACAGUGGCAAUAGUGUUAAACGUUAAGGGAGAUGGUUUAAGGGAUGGGUGGCAGAAGGGAAAAUAUAGGGUCAUUUCCUCACUUAUAGCCUACUUAACAUUCUGUAUGCUGAAGCGUUGGCACGCCAUACGGAGCUAUCUACUGCCAAAACUCUGUCAUCACACAAGGUGUUCAAUAGGCUUAAUCCCAAAAAGUUGGAAAAGACCUUUAACUCUCCUCUCCCUAUAUAUUCCACCUAUAUCCUCUGUGAAAUCUGGCAGUGAUCCAGCAGAGAGGUAUGUGAACUCUGCUUGGCCCAGACCCUCCCCCCUUAAAUCCAGACCGCUCAACAAUGUCUCCCUGUAUUGCAGUGGGGGGAAAAGAGCAAGAGAGAAGUUAAACCAGCAGUGUGAUCGAUGCCCGCUCUCCCCCUGCCUCAUCUCUCCCCCUCAUCUCCUUCCUUCCUGUUCCCUCCAUCUCUACCCAGCCUGCGCUGCCGUUUCCUCCUUUGUCAGAAACAGACAGGUGGCCCCUGACUGCUAAUUUUAACCGGGCCGAUUGUCUGCCUGUGUUCCCCACAGCUAUGUAUAGAUGCCUGUAAUAAACCAAGUAGAUCAG
Molecule: long non-coding RNA, 1247 nt
Organism: Micropterus salmoides (largemouth bass)
Lineage: Eukaryota; Metazoa; Chordata; Actinopteri; Centrarchiformes; Centrarchidae
Exons: 2
Source: RefSeq, a predicted model, not a curated record